RNAcentral lists this ribosomal RNA (252 nucleotides) under uncultured prokaryote. Its description in RNAcentral is "partial 16S ribosomal RNA". It matches the Rfam family "Bacterial small subunit ribosomal RNA", at positions 525 to 777 of the family's 1533-position model. The record is from RNAcentral.
ACGUAGGCAGCAAACGUUGUUCGGAAUUACUGGGCGUAAAGAGUGUGUAGGCGGCUUCGCAAGUUGGUGUGAAAUCUCCCGGCUUAACUGGGAGGGUGCGCCGAAUACUGCAAGGCUUGAGUACUGGAGAGGAUAGCGGAAUUCCUGGUGUAGCGGUGAAAUGCGUAGAUAUCUGGAGGAACACCGGUGGCGAAGGCGGCAUCCUGGACCAACACUGACACUGAGGAGCGAAAGCCAGGGGAGCAAACGGGA